GAUGAAGAACGUAGCAAAAUGCGAUAAGUAAUGUGAAUUGCAGAAUUCAGUGAAUCAUCGAAUCUUUGAACGCACAUUGCGCCCGCCAGUAUUCUGGCGGGCAUGCCUGUUCGAGCGUCAUUUCAACCCUCAAGCCCUCGGGUUUGGUGUUGGGGAUCGGCGAGCCUUUCUGGCAAGCCGGCCCCGAAAUCUAGUGGCGGUCUCGCUGCAGCCUCCAUUGCGUAGUAGUAAAACCCUCGCAACUGGAAAGCGGCGCGGCCAAGCCGUUAAACCCCCAACUUCUGAAUGUUGACCUCGGAUCAGGUAGGAAUACCCGCUGAACUUAAGCAUAUCAAUAAGCGGAGGA
This 346-nucleotide unclassified non-coding RNA is filed under the name soil metagenome. RNAcentral's name for it is "partial contains 5.8S ribosomal RNA, internal transcribed spacer 2, and large subunit ribosomal RNA". The stretch from base 1 to 120 matches the Rfam family "5.8S ribosomal RNA", at positions 35 to 154 of the family's 154-position model. The record is from RNAcentral.